ACUACCCUGGUGGNACGGGAAUACUCUCUCCGAAACUGAGGCUAAWCCCCGAUAACGCUUUGCUCCUGGAAGGGGCAAAGCCGGAAACGCUCCGGCGCCACAGGAUGCGGCUGCGGUCGAUUAGGUAGACGGUGGGGUAACGGCCCACCGUGCCCAUAAUCGGUACGGGUUGUGAGAGCAAGAGCCCGGAGACGGAAUCUGAGACAAGAUUCCGGGCCCUACGGGGCGCAGCAGGCGCGAAACCUUUACACUGUACGAAAGUGCGAUAAGGGGACUCCGAGUGUGAAGGCAUAGAGCCUUCACUUUUGUACACCGUAAGGUGGUGCACGAAUAAGGACUGGGCAAGACCGGUGCCAGCCGCCGCGGUAAUACCGGCAGUCCGAGUGAUGGCCGAUCUUAUUGGGCCUAAAGCGUCCGUAGCUGGCUGAACAAGUCCGUUGGGAAAUCUGUCCGCUUAACGGGCAGGCGUCCAGCGGAAACUGUUCAGCUUGGGACCGGAAGACCUGAGGGGUACGUCUGGGGUAGGAGUGAAAUCCUGUAAUCCUGGACGGACCGCCGGUGGCGAAAGCGCCUCAGGAGAACGGAUCCGACAGUGAGGGACGAAAGCUAGGGUCUCGAACCGGAUUAGAUACCCGGGUAGUCCUAGCUGUAAACGAUGUNCCGCUAGGUGUGGCGCAGGCUACGAGCCUGCGCUGUGCCGUAGGGAAGCCGAGAAGCGGACCGCCUGGGAAGUACGUCUGCAAGGAUGAAACUUAAAGGAAUUGGCGGGGGAGCACUACAACCKGAGGAGCCUGCGGUUUAAUUGGACUCAACGCCGGACAUCUCACCAGCCCCGACAGUAGUAAUGACGGUCAGGUUGAUGACCUUACCCGAGGCUACUGAGAGGAGGUGCAUGGCCGCCGUCAGCUCGUACCGUGAGGCGUCCUGUUAAGUCAGGCAACGAGCGWGACCCGCACUCCUAAUUGCCAGCAGUACCCUUUGGGUAGCUGGGUACAUUAGGUGGACUGCCGCUGCCAAAGCGGAGGAAGGAACGGGCAACGGUAGGUCAGUAUGCCCCGAAUGGGCUGGGCAACACGCGGGCUACAAUGGUCGAGACAAUGGGAAGCCACUCCGAGAGGAGGCGCUAAUCUCCUAAACUCGAUCGUAGUUCGGAUUGAGGGCUGAAACUCGCCCUCAUGAAGCUGGAUUCGGUAGUAAUCGCGUGUCAGCAGCGCGCGGUGAAU
RNAcentral lists this ribosomal RNA (1223 nucleotides) under Halobacterium sp. EzA. Its description in RNAcentral is "bacterial SSU rRNA". It matches the Rfam family "Archaeal small subunit ribosomal RNA", at positions 108 to 1322 of the family's 1478-position model. Lineage: Archaea; Methanobacteriati; Methanobacteriota; Halobacteria; Halobacteriales; Halobacteriaceae. The record is from RNAcentral.